AUUGAACGCUGGCGGCAGGCCUUACACAUGCAAGUCGAACGAGUGGCGGACGGGUGAGUAAUGUCUGGGAAACUGCCUGUUGGAGGGGGAUAACUACUGGAAACGGUAGCUAAUACCGCAUACCAUCAGAUGUGCCCAGAUUGGAUUAGCUAGUUGGUGGGGUAACGGCUCACCAAGGCGACGAUCCCUAGCUGGUUUGAGAGGAUGACCAGCCACACUGUAACGGAGACACGGUCCAGACUCCUACGGGAGGCAGCAGUGGGGAAUAUUGCACAAUGGGGGAAAGCCUGAUGCAGCCAUGCCGCGUGUAUGAAGAAGGCCUUCGGGUUGUAAAGUACUUUCAGCAGGGAGGCGGUACCCGCAGAAGAAGCACCGGCUAACUCCGUGCCAGCAGCCGCGGUAAUUC
RNAcentral lists this ribosomal RNA (406 nucleotides) under uncultured bacterium. RNAcentral describes it as "partial 16S ribosomal RNA". It matches the Rfam family "Bacterial small subunit ribosomal RNA", at positions 30 to 526 of the family's 1533-position model. The record is from RNAcentral.